GAGGCGUUUCUCUGACAGAUCUCUGAAGUGCUGCGAGUAGCCGGACCUAGGGCCUCCGUGUGCCCGGGCGGUCUGCAGAGCCAGCCCCUGCGGGGGCUGUCGAGCGGGGCGGAAGUGGGGAACUUGAGCAGGGGUGCACGUGAGUUGCUGCGGCAAGUCCGUCACGUGCCCUGUCCACUGGACAGUGCUGAGCAAUCGUCGUUAACGUGCAAUAAACAGCCGUUAAACCUCUCACCUGAGCAGGGCGCGAUCAACGCCAUACCACGGCAAGCAUGGAGUCUGCUGAGAUUGCCACGGCAGUUACGAGCACUGUGAACACCACACGCAUUAUCCUGCAACGUAUGCAGCACCAGAAUCUGCAAAAGCAGGCAAGGAGGCAACGGCAGCGUGGUGACGAGAGUGAUGAGGACAUGGACACAGACUUCUCUCAAAGCAUGGGCCCUGGCAAUUUGGAUAUCAUCGUGGUAAUGGGGCAGGUUCAUGCCAUGCAAUGCUGAAUCUGGGCCUGGGAAACAAGCACAGACUGGUGGGACCGCAUAGUGUUGCGGGUCUGGGAUGAUUCCCAGUGGCUGCAAAACUUUCGCAUACGUAAAGGCACUUUCAUGGAAAUUUGUGACUUGCUUUCCCCUGCCCUGAAGCACAAGAAUACCAAGAUGAGAGCAGCUCUCACAGUUCACAAGCAAGUGGUGAUAGCCCUCUGGAAGCUUGCAAUGCCAGACAGCUACCGGUCAGUCGAGAAUCAAUUUGGAGCAGGGAAAUCUACUGUGAUCCAAGUAGCCCACGCAAUAAAAGAUCUACUGAUAUCAAGGGUAGUGACUCUGGGAAAUGCUGCAAUUGGAUUCCCUAACUGUGGUGGGGCGAUAGAUGGAACACAUAUCCCUAUCUUGAGACCGGAGCACCAAGGCAGCCAGUACAUAAACCGAAAGGGGUACUUUCCAAUGGUGCUGCGAGCACUGGUGGAUCACAAGGGAUGUUUCACCAACAUCAACGUGGGAUGGCCGGGAAAAGUACAUGACGCUCGCAUCUUUAGGAACUCUGGUCUGUGUGAACGGCUGCAACAAGGGACUUACUUUCCAGACCAGAAAAUAACGGUUGGGGUUGUUGAAAUGCCUAUAGUUAUCCUUGGGGACCCAGCCUACCUCUUAAUGCCAUGACCUGUGAAGCUGUACACAGGCAUCUAAUAGGCUGAGCAAGUGCAGAAUGGCGGUAGAAUGUGCCUUCAGAUGUUUAAAUGCGCGCUGGCGCAGUUUACUGACUCGGUUAGAUUUCAGUGAAACCAAUUUUCCCAUUGUUAUUACGGUUUGCUGUGUGCUCCACAAUAUCUGUGAGAGUAAGGGGGCGAUGUUUAUGGCAGAGUGGGAGGUUGAGGCAAAUCGCCUGGUUGCUGAUUACGUGCAGCUAGACACCAAGGCAGUUAGAAGAGCACAGCAGGGCUUGCUGCACCUCAGAGAAGCUUUGAAAACCAGUUUCAUGACUGGCCAGGCUAUGGUGUGAAAGUUCUGUUUAUCCUUGAUGAAAAUGCACCCCCUUGGUUCUCUCUGCUUCCUUGUAAGCCAACUGCCCUCCCCUCCCCACUUCGAUCACCGCUUGCAGAGGCAAUAAAGUCAUCGUUGUUUCAAA
Long non-coding RNA from Gopherus flavomarginatus (Mexican gopher tortoise), 1620 nucleotides. RefSeq lists it as uncharacterized. The record is from RefSeq and is a predicted model, not a curated record. The transcript has 2 exons. Lineage: Eukaryota; Metazoa; Chordata; Testudines; Testudinidae.